Molecule: ribosomal RNA, 445 nt
Filed under: uncultured bacterium
Lineage: Bacteria
Description: partial 16S ribosomal RNA
Rfam family: Bacterial small subunit ribosomal RNA
Source: RNAcentral
GUGAGGAAUAUUGGUCAAUGGGCGGGAGCCUGAACCAGCCAAGUCGCGUGAAGGAAGAAGGAUCUAUGGUUCGUAAACUUCUUUUGCAGGGGAAUAAAGUGCAGGACGUGUCCUGUUUUGUAUGUACCCUGAGAAUAAGGAUCGGCUAACUCCGUGCCAGCAGCCGCGGUAAUACGGAGGAUCCGAGCGUUAUCCGGAUUUAUUGGGUUUAAAGGGUGCGUAGGUGGUUUGAUAAGUCAGCGGUGAAAGUUUGCAGCUUAACUGUAAAAAUGCCGUUGAAACUGUCGGACUUGAGUGUAAAUGAGGUAGGCGGAAUGCGUGGUGUAGCGGUGAAAUGCAUAGAUAUCACGCAGAACUCCGAUUGCGAAGGCAGCUUACUAAGCUACAACUGACACUGAAGCACGAAAGCGUGGGGAUCAAACAGGAUUAGAAACCUCGGUAGUCC